Molecule: long non-coding RNA, 1309 nt
Filed under: Olea europaea (common olive)
Lineage: Eukaryota; Viridiplantae; Streptophyta; Magnoliopsida; Lamiales; Oleaceae
Description: long non-coding RNA (OEUR_LNC014752)
Source: RNAcentral
CACACACACACACGGUUUAGGUGAGUAUGUAAUAGCAUAGAUAUAGUAUAUAGGGAAAUAACAUUAUUUGUAUUUGUAUUGAAAACAAUUGAUAUACUAACAUAAAGUUUAAAAUAAUAAUGUAAUGUGUAAACUAAGGGUGAUUUCUACAUUUCAAAAACUGGAUUUCAUACAACUUCACAGUUAGUUACAAGCUACAAAAGUAUCAUGAAGGCAGGUAUAUAUUCCUGCUAACUUAGCCUAUAUUGCUAGGUAAAAUAUAUAUGCAUGGUGAACAUAUACAUAAAAUCCCUCACAACCCAAGGACAUGUAUUAACAACUACUUAGACUUACAAUAUCAUAUAUACCUGAAGGAAGUGACAUUUACUCAAAAAUUUAUGCUUAUAAUGGAGAACCAUAGGAGUGAUAUACCAUGUCUUUUGUCGAAUUGUACUCUUCAUGGAAAUUUACAAACAAAUUAUGAUUUAAAACCUUUUUUACUAUAAUAUGCUAUGACAAUUUUACCAUUAAGCCCUUGAUUGAGUUCCAUUCUUUUGAAAAAAUGCAUUUUUCAAUAGUAUUUUAACAUCAUUUCAACCACACAAUCUUUAAUAAAAUAAUAUUAAAUGCAAAUCCAAAUUUUUUUUUUAUUUUUUAACUGCACAUUUCUCAUCAAUACACUGUUCAAAGAUUCAUUCUCUCCCCCAAAAUGGGGCUCAAACAAGGGCUAAGUUCAUUACCUACUAUAAAGAGGGUACUUAGGUUUGUCUUCUAAAUUUUAUAGACCAUUAAGUUCACUACCUAUUACAAAGAGGUACUCGGUUAUAAUAGUUUGUCUUCUAAAAUUGAACUUCUUCAAUGUCAAACAUUUUCCUAUAAUUAAAAUACACAAACUGUAUAUUUUGUUUCAUUAUUUAGUAGACACCUAUUGUUAAUUUAAGUUUCAAAAAGGAGCAAGAGAUAUCAAAUAUUAUAAGACAUUUCGGCAGCUCAUGCAAUCAAGGAUUAAACAAUCGUUAGUUAGAAGAAAAGUAUUAGGACAAGCAAGCAAAUUAAUCAUCACAUAAUGUAUUAGAGGAAGUAAACAAAUUAAUUACCUUUGGAGCUUUGGCUUGUCAUCUGUUGAGAAAGUAAUUUCAUGCAUAGGCCCACAUAAUUGUCAAUUCAAAAAAGGAAGCUACAGAAUGCAUAAUGUUAAGGUAUGCUAACGUGUUUUCAGUCUUGAAAGAAACGAUGACAUUAUUUUAUUAGCAAUAAGUUAAAAAGACACUCAAAUAAAUUGAAAAAGAUUGAUCUCUAUCAGCUUCCAAAGUCAUCUCAAUAUAAUUUU